Molecule: long non-coding RNA, 280 nt
Filed under: Salvia miltiorrhiza (redroot sage)
Lineage: Eukaryota; Viridiplantae; Streptophyta; Magnoliopsida; Lamiales; Lamiaceae
Description: long non-coding RNA (SMIL_LNC014168)
Source: RNAcentral
AACAUAGCUUUCUAUGGAUUUGUUUUAUUUUUAAAUGGAGAACCGUAUUCAUGUUUUUUGAAUUUAACAGAUAAGCUUUAAGUAAUUGCCUAGCUGUUCAAGGCUAUACAGCGUUGCCCCUCGCUCUUUUUGAAAAUUUCUCUCCCUCUGGCCUCUGUUGAUAUAUAGACACGGUUGCUCUCUCAUUUUCUCAUUGAACACACACACAAACGCCCAUCCCUCUCUCUCUCAAUCUAUCUCUCACUUUGACACACACACAUUCACCCACCCAGCCACACCC